Molecule: long non-coding RNA, 1309 nt
Filed under: Homo sapiens (human)
Lineage: Eukaryota; Metazoa; Chordata; Mammalia; Primates; Hominidae
Description: HSALNT0401964
Source: RNAcentral
GAGUCUUUGGCACACUCAAUAUAUGAGUACAUUUCCUCAGUAAACCAAAAGAAAGUACAGAUUCAUUGAGAAAGGGGUGAAAAGCCUAGUUUUGGCAGAUACUAAAACUGGUUAGUACUAUUAGAAUUCCAUUUACUGGUGAGGAAACAGAAGCGUGGAAAGAUCAAAUGACUCCUUCAAGGUCACAUAGGCAGUGAGAGACCCGGGAAUGAGUGCUAGGAUUAGUUCUUUCUCACAGCAAAGGAAAGAAAGUCAAAUACAGAAGAGCAGAAACACCAGCAUCUUUAGAAAGACUCAAACCAGUGUUCUUUUCUCAUUUGGGGAAGAAAAAACAAAAAUAGCGGCUCUUUAUUAAGCCAUGACCAUGCGUGCACUGAGAGAUUUGUAGGCAUUUUUUCACUUUGGGCUCACAAUAACCUUAAGAGUUAGAAGGUAUAAUCCCUCUUGUUUUACAAAUGAAAACCCCAAGACUCAGAUGUGCAAGUUGUCUUUGUUCAGAGUCUCAUAGCUGCUGAGUAAAAGGAGUAUAAGAUGAGGGGCUGUCUCCGAUGAGGCCCGUCUGACUUAACUGCUUCCCCAAAUGCUGCUGAUAAAACCCAGCAGUACCGGCUGUGCUGGUGUUCUAGCUCAGGCAGCUGGACUUUUUUCUCUUCCUCAUUGGUUUCCUCUUUUAGAAUAUUGGUCUCUAGGCUACUCUGUGCCUCAGACUAUACGCAGCUAGAACUUUUGUGAGGUUUAUUAUCAUUGGUAGCAAAUAUGUGUUGAGAGCUGGCUGCCAUGUCAGGUGCUGUGUUCAGCGCUUUAUUGGACUUGAGCCGUUUUAUUCUCCCGGCUCUACUGGGAAGCAGAUGUCAUCAUUGUCUGCUUCUUCUUCCACUGCCUUGUUGAAUGAACUAAUAAAGGUUAUUCCCUUACAAGCAUCUUCGGAGACAACUUUGUCCUAGCCAAGCCAUGGAUUUUUGGGGAAGCAGAGGAAUGAAAUGAUAAAAAGGAAAAUCAUUACCCUCUAGUAAAACCAGUAUUUCUUAACCUUUUGGGAGUCAUUGGACCUGUUUGAGAAUUUGAUGAAAACUUUGAACUAAAUCUCCAGAAAAGUAUUGAUUAGCACAUAACGACAUUUCACAUAGCGUAUACAUGUUUGUAUUUUACUCACAGCCUUCUGAACCUCAGGCUAAGAACCAGUACUUUAAAUGCUGUUAUAGUAAGUCCUUACAGUAGGUCUCACUGCAACCUCCAUCUCCCAUGUUCAAGCGAUUCUCCUGCCUCAGCCUCCUGAGUAGCUGCAAUUACAGGCACAUGCCACCAUGCC